GAUGAACGCUGGCGGCGUGCCUAAUACAUGCAAGUCGAGCGAACGGACGAGAAGCUUGCUUCUCUGAUGUUAGCGGCGGACGGGUGAGUAACACGUGGAUAACCUACCUAUAAGACUGGGAUAACUUCGGGAAACCGGAGCUAAUACCGGAUGAUAUUUUGAACCGCAUGGUUCAAAAGUGAAAGACGGUCUUGCUGUCACUUAUAGAUGGAUCCGCGCUGCAUUAGCUAGUUGGUAAGGUAACGGCUUACCAAGGCAACGAUGCAUAGCCGACCUGAGAGGGUGAUCGGCGACACUGGAACUGAGACACGGUCCAGACUCCUACGGGAGGCAGCAGUAGGGAAUCUUCCGCAAUGGGCGAAAGCCUGACGGAGCAACGCCGCGUGAGUGAUGAAGGUCUUCGGAUCGUAAAACUCUGUUAUUAGGGAAGAACAUAUGUGUAAGUAACUGUGCACAUCUUGACGGUACCUAAUCAGAAAGCCACGGCUAACUACGUG
RNAcentral lists this ribosomal RNA (497 nucleotides) under uncultured bacterium. RNAcentral describes it as "partial 16S ribosomal RNA". It matches the Rfam family "Bacterial small subunit ribosomal RNA", at positions 28 to 507 of the family's 1533-position model. The record is from RNAcentral.